RNAcentral lists this non-coding RNA (144 nucleotides) under Pseudoalteromonas phenolica. Lineage: Bacteria; Pseudomonadati; Pseudomonadota; Gammaproteobacteria; Alteromonadales; Pseudoalteromonadaceae. The record is from RNAcentral.
UUGUGUUUUAGACAUCUAGACUUCAUAAUAUGGUUUUUCUGAUUAAUCUUGGGAAUAAGCUGAAACUGCUUAACUGUCCCCGCAACUGUGAAGUGCAUUUAAAUGCACGAAGUCAGAUACCAAGGUCAGAAAAAUCCUCUUGAG